Non-coding RNA from Paramuricea clavata, 212 nucleotides. NCBI's taxonomy places the organism in Eukaryota, Metazoa, Cnidaria, Anthozoa, Malacalcyonacea, Plexauridae. The record is from the annotation of a GenBank genome assembly.
GUAAUUUUUACACAUCUGAUUGACUAAAUUCAGGAAGCCAUUUAAGUGUACGCGUAUUUGUUACAAUUUCGAUCAACUCUGCCGUGCAGCACGGCAGAGCCAGAGUAAAUUGUAAACAAAUUGUAAGCUUGUGAGAAUCAAAGUUCAAAACUCAAAAAUAUUUACUGGGUACAUGUAAAACAAAGACCUAAAAUCUAAAUUCUCAAAAGUAG